ACUCCUACGGGAGGCAGCAGUGGGGAAUCUUGCGCAAUGGGCGAAAGCCUGACGCAGCCAUGCCGCGUGAAUGAUGAAGGUCUUAGGAUUGUAAAAUUCUUUCACCGGGGACGAUAAUGACGGUACCCGGAGAAGAAGCCCCGGCUAACUUCGUGCCAGCAGCCGCGGUAAUACGAAGGGGCUAGCGUUGCUCGGAAUUACUGGGCGUAAAGGGAGCGUAGGCGGACAUUUAAGUCAGGGUGAAAUCCCGGGGCUCAACCUCGGAAUUGCCUUUGAUACUGGGUGUCUUGAGUAUGAGAGAGGUGUGUGGAACUCCGAGUGUAGAGGUGAAAUUCGUAGAUAUUCGGAAGAACACCAGUGGCGAAGGCGACACACUGGCUCAUUACUGACGCUGAGGCUCGAAAGCGUGGGGAGCAAACAGGAUUAGAUACCCUGGUAGGUG
This 442-nucleotide ribosomal RNA is filed under the name uncultured bacterium. RNAcentral describes it as "bacterial SSU rRNA". It matches the Rfam family "Bacterial small subunit ribosomal RNA", at positions 335 to 796 of the family's 1533-position model. The record is from RNAcentral.